RNAcentral lists this ribosomal RNA (253 nucleotides) under uncultured bacterium. RNAcentral's name for it is "partial 16S ribosomal RNA". It matches the Rfam family "Bacterial small subunit ribosomal RNA", at positions 524 to 776 of the family's 1533-position model. The record is from RNAcentral.
UACGAGGGUGGCAAGCGUUGUUCGGAAUUAUUGGGCGUAAAGGGCGCGUAGGCGGUUUGACAAGUCUGAUGUGAAAUCUAUGGGCUCAACCCAUAGCCUGCAUUAGAAACUGUCGGGCUUGAGUAUGGGAGAGGUGAGUGGAAUUUCCGGUGUAGCGGUGAAAUGCGUAGAUAUCGGAAGGAACACCUGUGGCGAAAGCGGCUCACUGGACCAUAACUGACGCUGAGGCGCGAAAGCUAGGGGAGCAAACAGG